Molecule: long non-coding RNA, 289 nt
Filed under: Malus domestica (apple)
Lineage: Eukaryota; Viridiplantae; Streptophyta; Magnoliopsida; Rosales; Rosaceae
Description: long non-coding RNA (MDOM_LNC016347)
Source: RNAcentral
UAAAAUUAAGAAAAGUUACCGUUAUGACACGUGGCACAAUCUGGAGUAUUGGAAUUCAAAUUUUUUAAAAUCCAACGGCAGAGAUUAAUUAUUUGAAUAAAAAUUUAAAAAAAUUGUAAAAAAUCCGAAAAAAAUUGUAAAAAAUCUGAAAAAAAUUUGUAAAAAAUUGUUUUUACUUUUCUAUAAAUACCACUUCUUCUCCAUCUACCUUACACCACAAUUUCAUAUUUUCUCAACUACUUUCAAUUAAAUUCCUAUCUUUCUCUCAAAGUUUCAAUCCAAUUUUUUU